GGUGGGAGGAUGUUGAGUCGGUUGCAGCAGCGUUUUCUCGGAGCGCUGCAGCUUCAGAACAGCAGCGACGCUCUGAACAAACAGUCACACCUUCAACCGGUUGCUGUGAAGCACUUUGAGCUCCUCCACUUUCCACCAGCAGCUUGAGACAAAGAGCUGAAUCGGCCUCCAGGCUUCGCUCACCGCAGCACAAACGUGAACUUUACUGCUGGCUGGUUGGUUGACGAGUCACCUGAGUCGGUUUGUGGCGGGAGCUGAAGCCUUCAGACAGGUGAUUGGAUGCAACGAUGACGGCGAAUCAGUGACGCAUCAUCAGAUCACCACCGAGGAAGAAGCAGCGACGUCGUCCUCAGACAUGGCCGAUGUUCGGUUACAGUAGUCGACCCAUGUGGACCAGAUAUACCAGAAGGAGACCCCGAACUUCACCAAUCCUCCGACUCCAAACCAACCCUCACUCCAAUCCGUUCGUCCUCAGGUGUCGAUGAACCAUGGACAUCACCUGGCUCUGCGUCGUCUUGUUCGUCGCCGUCGUCAUCGCUGUCGUCCUCCUCGUCUUCACCUGUGUGAACUGCAGGAAAAAAGGCCCCAUGGCCUCCAUCACUCAGACCGCUUCAGACGCGUAUGUGCCAUCCCCGCAUUUCAGAGUCAUCCAUCCAUUUGUAGCCCAGCCGACCACUGACCCGAACUCCCUCCGCCCUCCCGUCAGCCAUCCGUCACCUUUCCCAAAUCGAGCUGAUGGUGGAACUGUGUGGCAACCUUCACCCUACCAUCCAUCAGAAACAGAGAGUAACCCAAGUUAUGAGAAUCCAGGUAUUGGACCUGAAUCUUUGGAGAGCGACGCUGAUGAAGCCGGAUCCGGAUACAUAAUCGUGAUACCCGAAGGACAAGAUCCUGUGACCAAUCGAAGCGGAGCCUCAACGCCCAGUUCAGAUGUUCAGAACGACCACGACUAUGUGAACAUCGCAAAGGAAGCUUCAACAGACUAUCUGAAUGUGGACUCGAUGUACAAUCAAAGGCCGACAUCAGCGACAACGGCUACAACUGACAGCGACGACGACGAUGAUGACGAUGAAACAGGAAACUACGUGAACCAACAACCUAUGAUCCACAGCUAACCAGGUGCAGGAUGGGACAAGACGACCGACUGAGCUUCAUUCUUCUUCCUUCACAAAACUGCUGACGGUGUUUAUUUAAAGAGCUGAGAGAUGUUUCCCCACCGAGAACUGAGAAUUCCUGCUCGUGUUCAACGUCACGUUUAAAUUCAUUUUAGGUUUUUUUUAUUACCUUUUCAAUCAUCACUUCUUUCCUACAAUCUGAAUCUGUCCUCCACACAGAGGAGCUACCAUGUUUGAGCUUUACUUUGACUUUACUGACAAUCCUGAGAAUGUCUUGAUUCGCUAAUGAUCUAUUUGUGUUGUUGCCGUGGUUACUGUUGUCUCCAGGUCUAUAAUCCAACUGUGUGAACGAGAAAUGUUUUUAAGCAACUACAAUUCAAUUAAACAUAUACAAACCUCGAA
Molecule: long non-coding RNA, 1517 nt
Organism: Amphiprion ocellaris (clown anemonefish)
Lineage: Eukaryota; Metazoa; Chordata; Actinopteri; Pomacentridae
Source: Ensembl